RNAcentral lists this long non-coding RNA (1892 nucleotides) under Sus scrofa (pig). RNAcentral describes it as "lncRNA (ENSSSCG00030037024.1)". The record is from RNAcentral. Lineage: Eukaryota; Metazoa; Chordata; Mammalia; Artiodactyla; Suidae.
CUGUAGAUCACAUUUGCAUAUGUUAGUAAUAUUUUUUCUAAUACACAUUAAAAUAAAAUAAACAAAACAAAACUUAGGAGUUCCUGCUGUGGUGCAGUGGAUCCAACUGUAUCAGCUUGGGUUGCUGCAGUUCAAUCCCUGGCCCAUGCAGUGGAUUUAAGAUCUGUGGCGUAGGUUGCAACUGCGGCUUUGAUUUGAUCCCUGGCCCAGGUACUUCCAUAUGCUGCAGGUGCGGCCGAAAAAGGAAUAAAAAAGAACAUUAACAAUAAAUUUUUUACUGAAAAGAAUGGAUAUGUGUAUAACUGAACCACUUUGUUGUACAACAGAAAUUAAUACAACAUUGUAAAUCAACUAUACUUCAAUAGAACUUUAAAAAAUAAAAUUUAAAUGUCCACCUGCCACUAGAAAAUGUUCCAUAAUCACACUUUGAGACCCACUGUCCUACAAGGAAGGGACUAGAUUAAUUCAAAAUUGUGUUCCUUUUAAGAUCUGCUCUCUGGUGACCAGGUGACCUCCCUUUGUCAUUUUUACACUCAGAUCCUUUUAGCAAAAAUAAAGCCCCUGACCUCCACUCUGGCUCAAGUUCUUUUCUUUCCAGCUACUCAAGGUUUCAUACAUUCAAUAACAUACUUGGUAAGGGCUUCUUGUGACAAAGCCAGCUCUGUAAGUCCAUGGAGGGGACUCCAUGGCUCCUUCCUUCCUGACUUGUUAAAUGUUGUUGGACAGUGUUAGGUCAAGGGCAGCUGCUGAGGUUAUGUGAACUGCCCACUUACCUGGCCCCACCUGCUGAGCUUGGAGGCAUCCUUCAGGUCAUAGGUACACUCAUGUCUGGGCUCAGACACAGAGAAAUUCCCUUGGUAUGAACUGCCAGGAAUCAUUGGCAUGGAUGACAUGCUCUCAGGGGAGCCUCAAAGUUUUCUCAGGAUUUUCCAAGGGCUCUCCUGUUGCUGCUCCCAGGAGCAGGCAGCAAAGCUUAGCAAGAUCAUUCCCUGUUUCUCUCUUAAAAGUCUCCCCAGCUGAGAGGCAGCUUUAUUGAUAAUUUGAUCUGUGUCACCUACAGUCACUUUCUGACCCUGGAUUCGGGAUUCUAACAAUUUAUCAUUGAGGUCACUGAUUGUAAGCACCAGACAUUGACUAUGGAGAAAAGGGGAUUUUAUUAGAGCAACCCUGGAGAGUUUGCAGAACUGAGGAGAUGGACAAUCUGACCUCAGGAAGGGCAGGAACCUGGGCAGCUGGGUAGCUGGACCCACAGCAGGUCCCUUGGAGGGCUACCAUCAUGUGACUCUGCCCCAAUCCUGGCCCCAGCCCUUGUUGGGAAGGGUAGUAUGGUUGACAGCCUCCCCAGGAUCAUGUGCAAAGAGAAUGGUGAGGUGGGGUUCUGUUGUCAUAGAAAAAAGUAUUGAAAAACCCACAGAUGCCCACUGCUGAGUUGCAUAAGGAGUAACAGAAUAAGAAAAUCAAAAAGUAACGUAGAAUUUAUUUGCUCAAUGCAACAAGUUGGGGCUUAGGAAAUCAAGACCUGGAGAGGUUAAAUAACUUUUUCAUGGCAAAACCAGGCCUCAAAUCCAGCCAGGUUCCCUGACUCUUAGAGCAGGGCUUCUUCCACUUCAUACUCUACUGUGGACAAAGGAAGAAAAUACAGGAAAAUACAAUUAAGCCUUUGGAAUCUUCUCAUCACCACUGGCAGCUGUGUUUCAAUUUGCUUCUUCUUGGAGCAUCUUUAAUAUUUCAGUGUUCAGAGUUCCCGUCGUGGCGCAGUGGUUAACGAAUCCGACUAGGAACCAUGAGGUUGCAGGUUCGGUCCCUGCCCUUGCUCAGUGGGUUAACGAUCCAGCGUUGCCGUGAGCUGUGGUGUAGGUUGCAGACUCGGCUUGGAUCCCGAGUUGCUGUGG